CUCUUCGGGGAUGAUUAAACCGGCGCACGGGUGAGUAACACGUGAGUGACCUGCCUUUUAGACUGGAACAACUUACCGAAAGGUGAGCUAAUGCCGGAUGAGUUAUAUAAGUGCAUGUUUAUAUAGGAAAAGUUGGGGAGACCUGACGCUGAAAGAUGGACUCGCGUCCCAUUAGCUAGUUGGUAGGGUAAUGGCCUACCAAGGCGACGAUGGGUAGCCGGCCUGAGAGGGUGGCCGGCCACACUGGGACUGAGACACGGCCCAGACUCCUACGGGAGGCAGCAGUGGGGAAUUUUGCGCAAUGCUCGUAAGAGUGACGCAGCGACGCCGCGUGAAUGACGAAGGCCUUCGGGUCGUAAAGUUCUUUCGACAGGGAAGAAAAUGCCUAUAAGUAACUGUGUAUGUAUUGACGGUACCUGUAUAAGCAGCCCCGGCUAACUCCGUGCCAGCAGCCGCGGUAAUACGGAGGGGGCGAGCGUUGUUCGGAGUGACUGGGCGUAAAGAGCACGUAGGCGGUGUUGUAAGUCAUUAGUCAAAGACUAGAGCUCAACUUUAGUAAGGCUAGUGAUACUAUAAUACUAGAGUAUCAGAGAGGAUUGCAGAAUUCCUGGUGUAGCGGUGAAAUGCGUAGAUAUCAGGAGGAAUACCGUUAGCGAAGGCGGCAAUCUGGCUGGAAACUGACGCUGAGGUGCGAAAGCGUGGGUAGCAAACAGGAUUAGAUACCCUGGUAGUCCACGCUGUAAACGAUGGAUGCU
RNAcentral lists this ribosomal RNA (755 nucleotides) under uncultured bacterium. RNAcentral's name for it is "bacterial SSU rRNA". It matches the Rfam family "Bacterial small subunit ribosomal RNA", at positions 76 to 817 of the family's 1533-position model. The record is from RNAcentral.